ACUGAAGAAAGGGUAGGAUUACAGAAGCCAGGAUCCUCCAGAUUGCAGAAAAGUACAUUGGUGGGGGAGGCUGCAUUUGUGAGGGAGGUUCUUUCGGAUAGGGGACACAGAGACUAAAGCUUCUGAAAGGUACCAUGGGCUGGAUCCUAGCCUCCAGUGGGUUGGCUCCUUGCUCAAGCAGCUUUCCUCCCUCCAGCACUCCACUUCCCAUACCUGCCUCUCCCUAAGAAGACUAGGAUUAGUGAUGUCUGCAGAGCCCCUCCUCCAUACCCUUAUUCAUUUCUUAUAAUCAUUAUCUCGGUGUUUAUAGAGCUGUAGAGCAGAUUGUUUAAUUCCUCCCACUUAAGGAUGAAAAAACAAGGCCUAAACCUUUAAAUACUUGAGGCUACACAGCUAGAGAGUGGCAGUGCCAAAUGAAUCAUGGGGAAGUGGGAUAGAUGUAAAGUCUCCAGAGAGCAGUGGAGAAGGGGUUGGACACCUCCAUUCCCAACACAUUGAGGGAAAAGGGAGACUGUGAUUAAUGGGCAUGGAACUUCCACUUGUUAGAGAGUUUGCCACAAGGGCCAGUGACCAGGAAGGGGCACUGGAGAACUGUUGACCCAGAAGAAACUGAGGCAUCAAUGGGCAGAUGAACUAAACAGACAUUUCUCAAAAGAAAAAUUAUAGAUGACUAACAAAUACAUAUAAAAACAAGGUCAACAUCCCUAGCAAUCAGAGAAAUGCAAAUCAAAACUACACUGAGAUUUUAUCUCACCUUGGUCAAAAUGGCAAUUUAUCAAGAAUAGAAAUAAUAAUAAAUGCUGGAGAGGAUGUGGAGAGAAAAAGAACUCUUAUGUUACCGCUGUUGACCGGUGAUGAGUCCUUGCUUCCCCAGUGUUGAAGAAUAACACCAGAGAAGCACAACGAGGCAAGGUCAGAGUAGAAAUUAGAAGUUUAUUAAAGGACAGCAGAAAAGACUUCUCCAGGAGGAAGAAGGGGACCCAAGAGGUGGAAUCUGUGGAAGUGCAGUUGUUUCCCCUUUUUAUAGUUCUUUCAGUGAUGGAAUGUAGGUUGGAAGGCCCGAGGGGUGGGACAUAGGUGGGCCUAAGAAGUAAUCUGGU
Molecule: long non-coding RNA, 1100 nt
Filed under: Marmota monax (woodchuck)
Lineage: Eukaryota; Metazoa; Chordata; Mammalia; Rodentia; Sciuridae
Source: RNAcentral